GGGGAAUCUUGCGCAAUGGGCGAAAGCCUGACGCAGCAACGCCGCGUGGGGGAUGAAGGCCUUCGGGUUGUAAACCUCUUUCACCAUCGACGAAGCCUUUCGGGGUGACGGUAGGUGGGGAAGAAGCACCGGCUAACUACGUGCCAGCAGCCGCGGUAAUACGUAGGGUGCGAGCGUUGUCCGGAUUUAUUGGGCGUAAAGAGCUCGUAGGCGGUUUGUCGCGUCGGCCGUGAAAACCUACAGCUUAACUGUGGGCUUGCGGUCGAUACGGGCAGACUUGAGUUCGGCAGGGGAGACUGGAAUUCCUGGUGUAGCGGUGAAAUGCGCAGAUAUCAGGAGGAACACCGGUGGCGAAGGCGGGUCUCUGGGCCGAGACUGACGCUGAGGAGCGAAAGCGUGGGGAGCGAAC
This 409-nucleotide ribosomal RNA is filed under the name uncultured bacterium. Its description in RNAcentral is "bacterial SSU rRNA". It matches the Rfam family "Bacterial small subunit ribosomal RNA", at positions 356 to 773 of the family's 1533-position model. The record is from RNAcentral.